GUUAAGCGACUAAGCGUACACGGUGGAUGCCCUGGCAGUCAGAGGCGAUGAAGGGCGUGCUAAUCUGCGAUAAGCGCCGGUAAGGUGAUAUGAACCGUUAUAACCGGCGAUACCCGAAUGGGGAAACCCAGUGUGAUUCGUCACACUAUCAUUAACUGAAUCCAUAGGUUAAUGAGGCGAACCGGGGGAACUGAAACAUCUAAGUACCCCGAGGAAAAGAAAUCAACCGAGAUUCCCCCAGUAGCGGCGAGCGAACGGGGAGGAGCCCAGAGCCUGAAUCAGCAUGUGUGUUAGUGGAAGCGUCUGGAAAGGCGCGCGAUACAGGGUGACAGCCCCGUACACAAAAGCGCAUGUGCUGUGAGCUCGAUGAGUAGGGCGGGACACGUGGUAUCCUGUCUGAAUAUGGGGGGACCAUCCUCCAAGGCUAAAUACUCCUGACUGACCGAUAGUGAACCAGUACCGUGAGGGAAAGGCGAAAAGAACCCCGGCGAGGGGAGUGAAAAAGAACCUGAAACCGUGUACGUACAAGCAGUGGGAGCCCCACCACUAAGCCAGUGGUGAACUCCACAUACGCAUCCUUUGCUGAGGAUACGGUUAACGGAGCGAAAGCGACGUUCAACCGCAAAAGAAGCAGAGGGGGCUUAGUGGUGGGGUGACUGCGUACCUUUUGUAUAAUGGGUCAGCGACUUAUAUUCUGUAGCAAGGUUAACCGAAUAGGGGAGCCGGAGGGAAACCGAGUCUUAAUUGGGCGUUAAGUUGCAGGGUAUAGACCCGAAACCCGGUGAUCUAGCCAUGGGCAGGUUGAAGGUUGGGUAACACUAACUGGAGGACCGAACCGACUAAUGUUGAAAAAUUAGCGGAUGACCUGUGGCUGGGGGUGAAAGGCCAAUCAAACCGGGAGAUAGCUGGUUCUCCCCGAAAGCUAUUUAGGUAGCGCCUCGUGAAUUCAUCUCCGGGGGUAGAGCACUGUUUCGGCUAGGGGGCCAUCCCGGCUUACCAACCCGAUGCAAACUGCGAAUACCGGAGAAUGUUAUCACGGGAGACACACGGCGGGUGCUAACGUCCGUCGUGAAGAGGGAAACAACCCAGACCGCCAGCUAAGGUCCCAAAGUCAUGGUUAAGUGGGAAACGAUGUGGGAAGGCCCAGACAGCCAGGAUGUUGGCUUAGAAGCAGCCAUCAUUUAAAGAAAGCGUAAUAGCUCACUGGUCGAGUCGGCCUGCGCGGAAGAUGUAACGGGGCUAAACCAUGCACCGAAGCUGCGGCAGCGAACGUAUCACUUAAAGCGAUUCAGCGGGUUACGAUUGACGGAGCGAAGCGACGUCAAAGCGUAUACAAAGUCGAGUCGGUUUAAGGAUACGUUCGUUGGGUAGGGGAGCGUUCUGUAAGCCUGCGAAGGUGGCCUGUGAGGGUUGCUGGAGGUAUCAGAAGUGCGAAUGCUGACAUAAGUAACGAUAAAGCGGGUGAAAAGCCCGCUCGCCGGAAGACCAAGGGUUCCUGUCCAACGUUAAUCGGGGCAGGGUGAGUCGACCCCUAAGGCGAGGCCGAAAGGCGUAGUCGAUGGGAAACGGGUUAAUAUUCCCGUACUUGGUGUUACUGCGAAGGGGGGACGGAGAAGGCUAUGUUGGCCGGGCGACGGUUGUCCCGGUUUAAGCGUGUAGGUGUGUGUUCCAGGUAAAUCCGGUUCACUUUAACACUGAGGCGUGAUGACGAGGCACUACGGUGCUGAAGCAACAAAUGCCCUGCUUCCAGGAAAAGCCUCUAAGCAUCAGGUAACAUCAAAUCGUACCCCAAACCGACACAGGUGGUCAGGUAGAGAAUACCAAGGCGCUUGAGAGAACUCGGGUGAAGGAACUAGGCAAAAUGGUGCCGUAACUUCGGGAGAAGGCACGCUGACACGUAGGUGAAGUGAUUUACUCAUGGAGCUGAAGUCAGUCGAAGAUACCAGCUGGCUGCAACUGUUUAUUAAAAACACAGCACUGUGCAAACACGAAAGUGGACGUAUACGGUGUGACGCCUGCCCGGUGCCGGAAGGUUAAUUGAUGGGGUCAGCGCAAGCGAAGCUCCUGAUCGAAGCCCCGGUAAACGGCGGCCGUAACUAUAACGGUCCUAAGGUAGCGAAAUUCCUUGUCGGGUAAGUUCCGACCUGCACGAAUGGCGUAAUGAUGGCCAGGCUGUCUCCACCCGAGACUCAGUGAAAUUGAACUCGCUGUGAAGAUGCAGUGUACCCGCGGCAAGACGGAAAGACCCCGUGAACCUUUACUAUAGCUUGACACUGAACAUUGAGCCUUGAUGUGUAGGAUAGGUGGGAGGCUUUGAAGUGUGGACGCCAGUCUGCAUGGAGCCGACCUUGAAAUACCACCCUUUAAUGUUUGAUGUUCUAACGUGGACCCGUGAUCCGGGUUGCGGACAGUGUCUGGUGGGUAGUUUGACUGGGGCGGUCUCCUCCUAAAGAGUAACGGAGGAGCACGAAGGUUGGCUAAUCCUGGUCGGACAUCAGGAGGUUAGUGCAAUGGCAUAAGCCAGCUUGACUGCGAGCGUGACGGCGCGAGCAGGUGCGAAAGCAGGUCAUAGUGAUCCGGUGGUUCUGAAUGGAAGGGCCAUCGCUCAACGGAUAAAAGGUACUCCGGGGAUAACAGGCUGAUACCGCCCAAGAGUUCAUAUCGACGGCGGUGUUUGGCACCUCGAUGUCGGCUCAUCACAUCCUGGGGCUGAAGUAGGUCCCAAGGGUAUGGCUGUUCGCCAUUUAAAGUGGUACGCGAGCUGGGUUUAGAACGUCGUGAGACAGUUCGGUCCCUAUCUGCCGUGGGCGCUGGAGAACUGAGGGGGGCUGCUCCUAGUACGAGAGGACCGGAGUGGACGCAUCACUGGUGUUCGGGUUGUCAUGCCAAUGGCACUGCCCGGUAGCUAAAUGCGGAAGAGAUAAGUGCUGAAAGCAUCUAAGCACGAAACUUGCCCCGAGAUGAGUUCUCCCUGAGACUUAGAGUCUCCUGAAGGAACGUUGAAGACGACGACGUUGAUAGGCCGGGUGUGUAAGCGCAGCGAUGCGUUGAGCUAACCGGUACUAAUGAACCGUGAGGCUUAACC
RNAcentral lists this ribosomal RNA (3085 nucleotides) under Salmonella enterica. Its description in RNAcentral is "Bacterial large subunit ribosomal RNA". It matches the Rfam family "Bacterial large subunit ribosomal RNA". The record is from RNAcentral. Lineage: Bacteria; Pseudomonadati; Pseudomonadota; Gammaproteobacteria; Enterobacterales; Enterobacteriaceae.